Molecule: ribosomal RNA, 767 nt
Filed under: Ganoderma resinaceum
Lineage: Eukaryota; Fungi; Basidiomycota; Agaricomycetes; Polyporales; Polyporaceae
Description: partial small subunit ribosomal RNA
Rfam family: Bacterial small subunit ribosomal RNA
Source: RNAcentral
UAGAUACCCCGGUACUCCUUUCUGUAAACGAUGAAUGGUAGUCAUUAGUAAAAAUAAAAUAACUAGAGGCGAAGUUAACACAAUAACCAUUCCGCCUUGUGAGUACUACUGCAAAGUAGAAAACAAAAAAAUUAGUCGGUCUCGAAGCAAACGGAGUGAAGCAUGUUAUUUAAUACGAUAAUCCGCGUAAAACCUUACCAGAACUUGCAUACAAACUAUAAAUUUUUUUUCCUUAGGGACAAAAAAGAUUAGGGGUAUUUUAUAAUUUAAAUACUUAAGUACAGGUGUUGCAUGGCUGUCUUCAGUUCGUGUUGUUAAACAUUAGGUUAAUUCCACUAACGAACGAAAUCCCUGUUAUUAAUUUAUACUUAAUAACUAAUAAAUCUGAUAGAGAUUUAGCGGGGGCUAAGACAAGUCGUUAUGGCCCUCAUGUUCUGGGCUAUAGACGUGCCACAAAAACUUUUACAAAGUGAUGCAAUACUUCCCAAGAGAAGUGGAGCUAAUCAUUAAAAAAAGUGAUUUAUAUUAAAUAUAAGCCGGAUUGUCUCCUGUAAUUCGGAGGCAUGAAGAAGGAAUUCCGAGUAAUCGUUGAUAAGUAGCGCAACGGUGAAGCUAGUUUCGUGAUGAACUAACUGUCUGUCGCUGGGAAGAAGCCUUUAGUGGAGGAAACUGGAGUAAGAUUAUGUUUUUUUCAUAGUAACUCAUUGCUUUAAGUAAAGUAUUUUUAGUAUUAUGAUAAACUUAUUGGAUUUAGUGAAUUCAUUGAG